Dermacentor silvarum is the source of this 182-nucleotide small nuclear RNA. RefSeq annotates it as U2 spliceosomal RNA. NCBI's taxonomy places the organism in Eukaryota, Metazoa, Arthropoda, Arachnida, Ixodida, Ixodidae. The transcript has a single exon. The record is from RefSeq and is a predicted model, not a curated record.
AUAUGGCCGACGUGGGUCAGAGUGUAGUAUCUGUUAUGAUCAGCUUAAUAUCUGAUACGGGUUGUAUUUGAACUCAAAAUAUUAAACCUAUUUUUGCAAAUUUGCGUAAUGCUUUAAGCCUGCUUCACCUCCGCCGGGGGUCAGCCCGGUAUUGCACUAUCGUCGGGAUCGCCCCAGGGUUU